UAACCCAGUGCGCUGGCGGGCCCCCUGCUUAAGUGCGGCCGACCGCGAGUGCGAUGGGAUAUGCUUCGUUCGUAAAAUCCCAAAAUCAUCGGGGCUCCGCACGAUGCGGAGGGCAUUUUCGGUGGGUUGUAUCGCAUAGUCGGCACGCGGCAACUUGGUGACCGUACGUUAGUAACGUCAUGUCCUCCUCCUCUCUCCCGCCCGCUCCCCUCGGACGGGCGGGGAGCGAGAAGCGGCCUCUUACGACGUCCCGUGCGUCCUCGGCGGCGCUUGCAGUCGCACGUGUGCGCACGUGCUCGCCUGCUUCGUCUGUCCGUCUGGACCUCGGGACGGUCGAGUGCUUACGGAUGCGGUGAACUGGAUGGGAGUCGGGUUGGCGCACGCUGUUGCCGACCCGACGAAUGGAAGGUGUUUGCGCACGCCGCGAGCGGGCAAACGGAACGAAAUGAACGACCGCCGGCGGGCGGGCGGGCUGCGCCGUCCUGUCCGCGGGCGUCGUUUCGCAAGGAUUCGCUACCUGGU
Molecule: unclassified non-coding RNA, 522 nt
Filed under: Philodendron heleniae
Lineage: Eukaryota; Viridiplantae; Streptophyta; Magnoliopsida; Alismatales; Araceae
Description: partial external transcribed spacer
Source: RNAcentral